UUUUGGAAAAAAAAAUAUGCAAUAUAAAUUAUGUAUUAGUGUAUUUAAAAUAAUUUUUUUUCUUCAGUAGUAUCUGGAAAAAAAUUUUAAGAAGAAGUUUCUAAAGAAAUAGUAUCCAAAACGCUUCAAGCAAGAUGCACUGUCAGCAAAAUUACUGAAAAAUGCUCCCACGUGGACGCUUUUUUUUACAGUGGUAUCUGAGAAAAUAAUUUUGAGAAGACGUUUCUGAAAAAAUAGUGUAAAAAACGCUUUAAGCAGGAUGGACUGUCAGCAAAAGUACUGAAAAAAGCUCCCACGUGGAGCUCUUUUGAUACAGUAUAUCUGAAAAAAAUAAUUGUGAAAUGACCUUUUUGAACAAAUAGUGUCAAAAAUGCUUCAUGCAGUAUGUACUUUCAGCAAAAUUACUGAGAAA
This 412-nucleotide long non-coding RNA is filed under the name Gossypium barbadense (sea-island cotton). RNAcentral describes it as "long non-coding RNA (GBAR_LNC011913)". Lineage: Eukaryota; Viridiplantae; Streptophyta; Magnoliopsida; Malvales; Malvaceae. The record is from RNAcentral.